AUUGUCACAAACAUUAGACAGAACUAAAAUCCCAAACUCUCUUCUGAAGCAGAAGGAGAGAAGUGGAAUUAGAAGAAGAGGUUUAUGCAAUAGAAGCUACGUUAAGAGAACCCCGUUCUGUGCCUAUCUCCCUGGAUAGUCACACUCGGAAAAGUUACUGCUUUGCACAGGGUCCUGCUGCUCAAGCAAUGAGGAGAGAAAAAGAAUGUUAUUUACCAUCUAUACAGGAGGGAUGUAGAAGACCCACAUUGCUGGCAGUCUGUGUGAUCUGAGGAAUGAACAUGGCACAUGUGACACAAAGCACAGUGGGGGUCCUGUUCCUGGGGCUGGAGAGCCGAGAGCUGGAUCCGGUUUGUGGCUCCUGCAGGAACAACUGAACAGCGAGGCGCUCCUCCCUGCAGCCGGAAAGAGGAAACGGGAAACGAAAAGGGAAAAGGGAAAAGGAAAAAGAAAAGAAAGAGGAAGUUCGCACAGGCACUUCUGCCCAGCGCCUGGUUUCAGCGGGCACCCAGGGAGCAUGUCUCCUAUUUGUAGGCAGGGAGCGCCGCCUGCCGCAGGAGAAAUGGCUGUGGCAUAGCAGGAAAGAAAGGAGCAGCUCCAUCCCCAGCCCUGGAGACACAUGCUUAUACUGUUUUGUGCCAUCUGGCACAUGCUGCCCAAAGAGUAUCGUGAUUUUGGAAUAACAUGAGGAUGAACCAAAACAUGAAAACGAAAACGGUGACUAUACUCCAGCUGAAACACCUCAGACCUGUCUCCUUGACUUCAGCCAGUGAUACACCAUGUGCAGCAUGAUGGUACACCUCUCAUACCCAGUGUGUUGCAGCUCUCAGCCUGGGUUAUACCCUAGGCCCAUAAGGUAAAAUACACAGGGAGUUCGUGACAUUAUCCUCAGCAGUUUCAGACAUGUGCCUGUUUAAAAGGUGCUUCCUGCAGGCUGUGGAGCAGCACAUCUCAACAACUGCGCAGUGAUCACAACUGCCUGUGGGUACCCUCAUGCCAAGAGGCUUUCGUCUAAUUCCCACCCCUCUGCCACCACUCAGUGCAUGGUCUGUAUUUACACAGACCUGCUCUGAGUACACAAUGGUCACUGCAGAAUUAUGUCUGAAAAAUCUCAUUCGCCUGUCUGACAGCUGCAACUGCAAGGUAUAAAGAAGAUACAUGUCCCCCACUCACCUAUUGCCUUGAUCUCACCUCUAGGACAUUUCUUACUCGGUAGGCUGAAUAGGUCCAUUUUCUUGACAGCCUCUCUUUCCUGGAAUAGAAAUGAAGCUACACAGUGCUCCAGACCACACAAAGAACUGUAAGUCUCUAUGCCCAAACAUCUAAGUAUUUACACAUACAAGCACUAAAAGCUUCUUCAUAACUUCUCCGCUCCAGAAGGUAAAGGACAGAAGAGAGGCUGACCAUGACUUAGCUUAAAAGCAGCUAAACUUUUCACCCCAAGGGCAUUGCAGCUCCAGAGCUCCUCCGCGGCAUUAUACAGACGAGGAGCUCUUCACAGAGCUCUUCACAGAACGCUUACUGCACUGUGCUGCAGACAAGAGGCUCAGAUCACUCAGCAAAUGAAGAUCUCAGAACACGCUUAAUUUAAAAGCUAAAUGUAGUACCAGGAUGAUGCUUGACAGUGUUCCUUUAAUAAAAAAGUUAUGGUAUUUGCCUGAAGAUUUAUACCUUUCAAAAGAAAAUUUGGUAUCUGAUGAUAUCUCUUUUUUGAGUACCUAUGCUUUCCAUUCCUACAAUCCCUUUACCCACUGUAAAAUCCCAAAGGCUGUAUUAACUUGAAUUAAGUGAGAACCUUUGAUAUGUUUUGAAUUUGUGCGGGAGACAGUGUUGAUAAUGCAGGGAUGUUCUGUUACUGCUGAACAGUGCUUCAACAGAAUCAAGGCCUCUUCUGCUGAGGCCUCUGCUGCUCACAGCCCCUACCAGUGAGGAGGCUGGCAAUGCACAAGGAGCUGGGAGAGGACACAGCCAGGACAGCUGACCUCAGCUGACCCAAGGGAUAUUCCAGACCAUAUGAUGUCAUGCACGGUAUAUAAAGCUGGGGGAAGAAGCAGCAAGAAGGGGGUGUUUGGGUUGAUGGUAUUUGUUUUCCCAGGUAACCAUUAUGUGUGAUGGAGCUCUGCUCUUCUGGGAUGGCUUAGUACCUGCCUGACCAUUGGAAGGGGUGAAUGAAUUCCUUGUUUCCCUUUA
Strigops habroptila (Kakapo) is the source of this 2190-nucleotide long non-coding RNA. RefSeq lists it as uncharacterized. NCBI's taxonomy places the organism in Eukaryota, Metazoa, Chordata, Aves, Psittaciformes, Psittacidae. The transcript is spliced from 5 exons. The record is from RefSeq and is a predicted model, not a curated record.